GAUGAACGCUGGCGGCGUGCUUAACACAUGCAAGUCGAACGAAGCACCUUAUUCUGAUUUCUUCGGAAUGAAAAAUUUGGUGACUGAGUGGCGGACGGGUGAGUAACGCGUGGGUAACCUGCCUCAUACAGGGGGAUAACAGUUAGAAAUGACUGCUAAUACCGCAUAAGACCACAGCACCGCAUGGUGCAGGGGUAAAAACUCCGGUGGUAUGAGAUGGACCCGCGUCUGAUUAGGUAGUUGGUGGGGUAACGGCUUACCAAGCCGACGAUCAGUAGCCGACCUGAGAGGGUGACCGGCCACAUUGGGACUGAGACACGGCCCAAACUCCUACGGGAGGCAGCAGUGGGGAAUAUUGCACAAUGGGGGAAACCCUGAUGCAGCGACGCCGCGUGAGCGAUGAAGUAUUUCGGUAUGUAAAGCUCUAUCAGCAGGGAAGAAAAUGACG
This 448-nucleotide ribosomal RNA is filed under the name uncultured bacterium. RNAcentral's name for it is "bacterial SSU rRNA". It matches the Rfam family "Bacterial small subunit ribosomal RNA", at positions 28 to 456 of the family's 1533-position model. The record is from RNAcentral.